UACGUAGGCAGCGAGCGUUGUUCGGAUUCAUUGGGCGUAAAGGGUGCGUAGGCGGCGCGGUAAGUCGGGUGUGAAAUCUCGGGGCUUAACUCCGAAACUGCAUUCGAUACUGCCGUGCUUGAGGACUGGAGAGGAGACUGGAAUUUACGGUGUAGCGGUGAAAUGCGUAGAUAUCGUAAGGAAGACCAGUGGCGAAGGCGGGUCUCUGGACAGUUCCUGACACUGAGACACGAAGGCCAGGGGAGCAAACGGG
RNAcentral lists this ribosomal RNA (253 nucleotides) under uncultured bacterium. RNAcentral describes it as "partial 16S ribosomal RNA". It matches the Rfam family "Bacterial small subunit ribosomal RNA", at positions 524 to 776 of the family's 1533-position model. The record is from RNAcentral.